Molecule: small nucleolar RNA, 173 nt
Organism: Chionomys nivalis (European snow vole)
Lineage: Eukaryota; Metazoa; Chordata; Mammalia; Rodentia; Cricetidae
Product: small nucleolar RNA SNORA81
Exons: 1
Source: RefSeq, a predicted model, not a curated record
AACUCUGUUGUUAAGUAGAGUGCCAGAAUUUCAAAAAGUGGGAUUGUCUUGGAUUUUGUAACAAUACUAAGAGAGUAGGCAGAGGAAGAGAAGUGGCUGCUCUGGACCCUAAAGACUGGGUGUGGUGAACCUCUGUCUUAAUGUCCAGUGUCUUCAUAUUUGGUGAAAUGUGU